UACAGAGGGUGCAAGCGUUGUUCGGAUUCAUUGGGCGUAAAGGGUGCGUAGGCGGCGCGGUAAGUCUGGUGUGAAAUCUCGGAGCUUAACUCCGAAACUGCAUUCGAUACUGCCGUGCUUGAGGACUGGAGAGGAGACUGGAAUUUACGGUGUAGCGGUGAAAUGCGUAGAUAUCGUAAGGAAGACCAGUGGCGAAGGCGGGUCUCUGGACAGUUCCUGACGCUGAGGCACGAAGGCCAGGGGAGCAAACGGG
Molecule: ribosomal RNA, 253 nt
Filed under: uncultured bacterium
Lineage: Bacteria
Description: partial 16S ribosomal RNA
Rfam family: Bacterial small subunit ribosomal RNA
Source: RNAcentral